RNAcentral lists this long non-coding RNA (2487 nucleotides) under Zea mays. RNAcentral's name for it is "long non-coding RNA (ZMAY_LNC001071)". The record is from RNAcentral. Lineage: Eukaryota; Viridiplantae; Streptophyta; Magnoliopsida; Poales; Poaceae.
GGUGUGCUGGGACCAAGUCUCACACAUAUGAUGAAUCAUGGCAUAGGAUCGAAUGUCACAUCUUUACUAAAUAACAGGAGUUCUGUACAAAAUAAAUAAUUACAUUAUAAGGAGACAACAGUCCAGCAACCCAAAGUUGACUGGGAGACGACGACCUAGACCUGUCACGAACUCGUCACAGCAUCCUCCAAGCGCCUCAUCCUGUGGUACCUGUUCUUGACCUGUGGGGGGUGUGAGACAGCAAGAGUGAGCUCACAUACGUUCAUCGCUCAACAAGUUGUGGGGAAUAAUGUGCAUGAACUCGCCAAAGGUGGGAGCUCACGUGAAGUGUAAGGCUUAACAAAGAGGAUGGUUAGAGCUGAGCAUUGCUUUUAAAGUUGGUCAAAAUUUUAUUAGCAAUUACUAAGUAUAAGUAAAUACCAACCCAAUUAAAUAGUAGAACAGAAGUAACAACAUCACCUGCGAUGCAAUGCAUAUGACAAAUUGAAUUUAAGUUCCAUAAAUUAAUCAUGUGAGGGUCCGAGCUGCUCAUGACCGUGAGCACGGCUAGUAUACCAGUUUUACACUCUGCAGAGGUUGCGCAUCUUUACCCACAAGUCAUGUUACCCAUCUGCCAAGGGAUCGCGACUUCCCAUACACCUCUACCGAGGAGGCGAGGCAGGGUAACACUACGAGGCCUUUACAAAGUUCCACUAGCUUCAGAAAACCCGCUACAGUUUAUAGGAAGCUCCAAUGCAGGAAUCCCUUGCAGGACCGCCAUCGCAGCAAAAUCCUCCCGAGGGCCUCCCUACACUGACCACUCCCCUACUGCCCUUGCCCCUUUCAGGUAAGGUAGUCUUCCACUAGCUUUCCUAAUUAAUCAGCCAAGGGCGUCCCAUUAAACCCUUGUGGUAGCACUGUUUUCCCGGGUGGUCGCUCCAUGUUCCAAUUAACAUAAUGAUCUUAUCAUGAACAGAAAUAAUAAACUGAUAAUAAAAGUGUAAUCAUGAAUAAUGUAUCUUCAUACCCAAAACCACAUAAAGCACUAGCAAGUACUACCCAAAAAGUUCAGUGGUAAACAAGGUAUAAAGAUAAUCAAACUAGGGUAAACUAUUGGGUCCCAUCAAAAUUAACCUAUGCAGAUCAUUAUGAUUAAUCAGAACAUGAGUAGGUAAAAAGAAGUGAUCAAGGGCACAACUUGCCUGGGACUUGAGAUUCCAGGUACCAACUUGCUUUUCAGAUGACUCGUGACCUUGCUAGUCGUAGCAAUACAACAAACAUGGUAUAGGAAAAAUUAACAUUACAUCAAACAUAAUAACAACUGCAUAAUAAUAUUCUACGCGUCGUAACGAGAUCGUAGGAACAAGAAUCACUAAAUUCGGAGUUACGAUUAUCAAGUUAUGAUUUUAUAAAGAUUUAAGUGUUGGACACAAAAGAAAUUGAGUGCAUAAAUUAUACCUUUGUUUCAUAAUAAAAUAAGGUUACCAAAUGAUAAACAAUAUUAUUAUGAAUUUAUAGCAACUGGAAUAAAUUAAUUCGGACCUAAGAUGAAUUAAAUAUGAAUUAUACAAGUUUCUGGAAUUAUUUUUAUACUAAAAAUCAAUUUUCCUAAUUAUUUCUCUAUUUUUAUCUCUCUGGACUGCACGUUAAAUUCCAGAAAGAUCAGGGGUUAUUUAGAAAAUAAUUCCCAAGACUCAUGAUUCCCCCAGUGUGGACGGCGGGUUAAAUACUAUGAAGUUCAGGGGCUCUUAAGAAAAAGGGAACUCGCGAAGGGGUACGGUGAGGUUUGGGUCGUCCGAUCCAAUCCGAACGGCCAAGAUUUCAAAUAGGUGAUAUCCCAACGUAUCCCUCCGAUUACAUAUCAACGGCCAGAUCGAAAUAGAGCGCAGGGGUAUGAGAGAUCUAAUCUAAACCGUUGAUAGCGGAUUGAACGGCGAGGGGCCAUCUUCUUCCUCCCGCGUCUUCUCCCUCCACCGCAGCCAACGCGGCGGCGAGGAACCUACCGCGACGGCGCCAACUUUAGCCGCGGCGGCGAUCUCGCCGACGAGGAGGUGGUCGGGAAACACAGCGCUCUCUUCAAUCUACCGACUGCGCCCACGAAGGCCACCCAUAUCCCAUGGCCGCGCUGCACACUGACAGUCCUAAUCCCACGUACGCACUGCCUAGGAGCCCAAACGAGACUAACCCAGUCUUCAUUACGAACAGAAUAAGGUGCAUCGUACAGGGGGGUUAUUACCGUGAAUCAUAUGGGGUACAGAACCACACCGGCGCUGACGCCAAAGGAGAUUCUCGGCCACCCCGAAGCUUCGUGUACACGGAUGACCUCUGCACGUCAUCAGCUCUCCAAGGCGCAUGAAGUAGCUACGCCAGGGUUCGGCUCUCGGUGUUGGCAUGGUGAACGAGGGAGGUUUGGCUGGCAUAUAUAUACGCUAAGGAGAUUUCCUCCAUGCCGAGUGGACGGAGUCUGUUACGGAGUUUGUUGAGUCUGAUUCGUGGCCAGGAGAUCGA